GCCUCCUGGCUUGGUUAUCCUGGGCUUUGCUCAUCUACCCAAAAAGUAUUUAGUUGUGCCCCCGGAGAUACGGAUCUUCAUCAACUCAUUGCCCUUCCGGAACCGGAGCUCCGUCUGUUCUUGUCUUGUCCUGGGACACACAGAGGCCCGGGGCAGUAAACCUGCGUCAAAUUCAGCCCACCCAAAGCUGGACUAAGAUCGUUUCACCCAAAAUGGUUCCUGUUCCAGUGUUGCCGUCAGGCUGAUGAGACUAGCCCAGGGCAGCCCCCUCAUCAGGGCCCACUUGAGAAACCCGCACCCCUCCACGUCCAAGUGACUCUGAGCUCUAUUGGCACUGCCAUCUCUACAUGCUCCAGCAUCACAUCCCCUGGGUUGGCAGUCUCAACUCUGCCACCUACACUGUUGCUGACGAGACUGGUUCCGAGUUACCUGCAUGAUGUCUUUUGAAAGAGAUGCAUACAGGGAUCCUUCAUGAGUGUGUGCGAGUGAGACAACUCCUGUACCACAGGACCUGUGAGGAGGGCAUGGGCCUUCUCCAGGAGGAAGAUGGAUCCAUCGAGAGAGUCUGGCACCUGUUGCAGACCCCCGCUCAUUCUGUGAGCUUGUCCCUCCAGGCCCCUGACGGUGCAGUAAAUCACAGGAGGACAGAGGCCGCACAUCUAUCACUGUGUGCCCCGCCUGCUGCAGCUGCACGUAAUGGCUCUCAGAAACGAGAUGAAACAGAAUUUCUGCUCCGAGAUGUCCGUCAAACCCUGCAGCGCCCCUGGUUUUAGCUCUGACAUGAUGACACCUACUGGCCUGAGCAGAAACAGCACCUCUCUUAUUUGCUAUCUGAGACCCAGAGACAUCACUGAAAAGCAGAGACACUACUUUGUCUACAAAGGGAAUGGUUAGAAGUCAUAACGAGUGCUGUGAAAGAAAAGUAGUAAGGGUUAAGGAAGGACAGCAUUCGUUCAACUUCCCUGGUGCUUUUUCAUGAGGUCUCAGUUCAUCUCUCUGCACGCAGAGCUGGCGGGGAGGACCGUGUUUCCAUGCGAGCCUCGGCGGAGGUCGGGAGCAAACGCUUGCUCUGUCAGCAGAAGACCCCAGGCCCGGGAGCCCCUGAACCCUCGGGGCGCCCUCAGCAGGGCCGACUCAAUGUGACAUGCUCUGGGUGCUAUCCUCCUAGAAGCUUUACAAUACAGACCUGGGCUUGCCUCAGAACUUUCUUCCGCAAACCCUCAGAAAGUGGGCAAAUCUAUUGGUCCCCUUCGCAGCGUCAAGAGGAAGGGACUCUGACAUCUCCUGGCCAGACCUCCCAGGGCCAGCGUCGGUAGGGUUUCCCUGCCCCUGGUCUAUUUCGGCAGCAUCUCAGAAAAACGGGAGGACAAAGCGGGGUAUCAAACCCGCCAGAUGCAGGCUCCAGCCCUGAGGAUCAGAUGUGACCGGUGUGGCGGGGGGCUCCGGAGCAGCAUGUGUGAGGGUUUCCAGGGGUGGGCGCCGCUGGACCCAGGCACAGUCCUGCUGGGAAGUACAGGGCCCCAGCCAGGUGCAGACACGGGAAGGUGUCCCCAGGGCCCUGGGAGGCUGUCAGGGGCUCCUCUGGCCGUGCAUGACUGCUACCUUGCGGCUGGUAUUCCAGUCUGGGCAAUGGGGACAAGGCUGGGACGAGGGUGGGACCAAGAUCAGGAACCAGAUUCAGUGCUGUUCACCAUGAUUAAUUAACCCAGAGCCAGAGCCCCAAGGCGCAGCGCUAAAAAUACGUGCUCCUCUCGGAGAGGCGGCAGCUGCCACCCAGCAACUUUUACCCGUCGCCAUUUGUCAUAAUUUGACACUGAUAAGGAGUGGGUCCACGGAGCCGUGUGCAAGAAUCGCCCGCCACAGCCCACCAGCCAGCUGGGCCGCGAUAACUGUCCGCGGCGCUUUCCUCCCCAGACUCUCCCCCCAUCCCC
Odocoileus virginianus texanus is the source of this 1931-nucleotide long non-coding RNA. RefSeq lists it as uncharacterized. NCBI's taxonomy places the organism in Eukaryota, Metazoa, Chordata, Mammalia, Artiodactyla, Cervidae. The record is from RefSeq and is a predicted model, not a curated record.